RNAcentral lists this ribosomal RNA (271 nucleotides) under uncultured bacterium. RNAcentral's name for it is "partial 16S ribosomal RNA". It matches the Rfam family "Bacterial small subunit ribosomal RNA", at positions 524 to 794 of the family's 1533-position model. The record is from RNAcentral.
UACGAAGGGUGCAAGCGUUAAUCGGAAUUACUGGGCGUAAAGCGCGCGUAGGUGGUUCAGCAAGUUGGAUGUGAAAGCCCUGGGCUCAACCUGGGAACUGCAUCCAAAACUACUGAGCUAGAGUACGGUAGAGGGUAGUGGAAUUUCCAGUGUAGCGGUGAAAUGCGUAGAUAUUGGAAGGAACACCAGUGGCGAAGGCGACUAUCUGGACAGAUACUGACACUGAGACACGAAAGCGUGGGUAGCAAACAGGAUUAGAAACCCGAGUAGU